GUCCAGACUCCUACGGGAGGCAGCAGUGGGGAAUAUUGCACAAUGGGGGAAACCCUGAUGCAGCGACGCCGCGUGAGCGAAGAAGUACCUCGGUAUGUAAAGCUCUAUCAGCAGGGAAGAAAGUGACAGUACCUGACUAAGAAGCCCCGGCUAACUACGUACCAGCAGCCGCGGUAAUACGUAGGGGGCAAGCGUUAUCCGGAUUUACUGGGUGUAAAGGGAGCGUAGACGGUUGUGCAAGUCAGAAGUGAAAGCCCGGGGCUCAACUCCGGGACUGCUUUUGAAACUGUGAAACUGGAGUGCAGGAGAGGUAAGCGGAAUUCCUGGUGUAGCGGUGAAAUGCGUAGAUAUCAGGAGGAACACCAGUGGCGAAGGCGGCUUACUGGACUGUAACUGACGUUGAGGCUCGAAAGCGUGGGGAGCAAACAGGAUUAGAUACCCCGGUAC
RNAcentral lists this ribosomal RNA (447 nucleotides) under uncultured bacterium. Its description in RNAcentral is "bacterial SSU rRNA". It matches the Rfam family "Bacterial small subunit ribosomal RNA", at positions 329 to 793 of the family's 1533-position model. The record is from RNAcentral.